RNAcentral lists this ribosomal RNA (155 nucleotides) under uncultured soil bacterium. RNAcentral describes it as "partial 16S ribosomal RNA". It matches the Rfam family "Bacterial small subunit ribosomal RNA", at positions 355 to 507 of the family's 1533-position model. The record is from RNAcentral.
UAAGGAAUAUUGGUCAAUGGACGAAAGUCUGAACCAGCCAUGCCGCGUGGAGGAUGAAGGUCCUCUGGAUUGUAAACUUCUUUUAUUUGGGACGAAAAAGGGAAAUUCUUUUCCACUUGACGGUACCAGAUGAAUAAGCACCGGCUAACUCCGUG